This 111-nucleotide ribosomal RNA is filed under the name Acanthosepion pharaonis. Lineage: Eukaryota; Metazoa; Mollusca; Cephalopoda; Sepiida; Sepiidae. The record is from RNAcentral.
CGACCACAUGACUUUCAAACAUCGGUUCUCGUACGAUCACUGAAGUUAAGCAAUGUCGAGCCUAGACAGUUCUUAGAUGGGUGGCCGCUUGUGAAUACCAGAUGUUGUAAG